GGCCUGAUUAUGGCCUGUGAUUGAACGCUGGCGGAUGCGUUUUUCAUAAUAGCGCAAGUCGAACGGCAGCACGGACUUCGGUCUGGUGGCGAGUGGCGAACGGGUGAGUAAUGUAUCGGAACGUGCCUAGCGGGGGAUAACUACGCGAAAGCGUAGCUAAUACCGUGCAUACGUUCCCUUCGGGGAAAGCGGGGGGACCUUCGGGCCUCGCACUAUUAGAGCGGCCGAUAUCGGAUUAGCUAGUUGGUGGGGUAACGGCUCACCAAGGCGACGAUCCGUUUGAGAGGACGACCAGCCAUACUGGGACUGAGACACGGCCCAGAUCUACGGGAGGCAGCAGUGGGGAAUUUUGGACAAUGGGGGAAACCCCUGAUCCAGCCAUCCCCGCGUGUGCGAUGAAGGCCUUCGGGUUGUAAAGCACUUUCUUUGCAGGAAAGAAACGGCACCGGGAUGUAAUACCCUGCAACUAACGGCAUCGCAGAAUAAGCACCGGCUAACCAUGCCAGCAGCCGCGGUAAUACGUAGGGUGCAAGCGUUAAUCGGAAUUACUGGGCGUAAAGCGUGCGCAGGCGGCUGGAAAGAAAGAUGUGAAAUCCCAGAGCUUAACUUUGAACUGCAUUUUUAACUACCGGUUAGAGUUGUGUCAGAGGGAGGUGAAUUCCGCGUGGCAGGCAAGUAGAAAUGCGUGAUAUGCGGAGGAACACCGAUGGCGAAGGCAGCCUCCUGGGAUAACACCGACGCUCAUGCACGAAAGCGUGGGGAGCAAACAGAUUAGAUACCCUGGUAGUCCACGCCCUAAACGAUGUCAACUAGCCGUUGGGGCCUUCGGGCCUUGGUAGCGCAGCUAACGCGGUGAAGUUGACCGCCUGGGGAGUACGGUCGCAAAGAUUAAAACUCAAAGGAAUUGGACGGGGACCUGCACAAGCGGUGGAUGAUGUGGGAUUAAUUCGAUAAAUCGAAAACCUUAAUACCUCCACCCUUGACAUGUCUGAAUCCUGAAGAGAUUUGGGAGUGCUCGCAAGAGAACCGAACACAGGUGCUGCAUGGUUACCGCCGCUCUCGUGUCAGGAGAUGUUGGGUUAAGUCCCGGCAACGAUGCAACGGUCAUUAGGUUGCUACGAAAGGGUAAUUUCACGAGACUGCCGGUGACAAACUGGAGGAAGGUGGGGAUGACGUCAAGUCCCCAUGGCCCUUAUGGGUAGGGCUUCACACGUCAUACAAUGGUCGGGACAGAGGGUCGCCAACCUGGCGAGGGGGAGCCAAUCCUGAAACCCGAUCGUAGUCCGGAUCGUAGCCUGCAACUCGACUGCGUGAAGUCGGAAUCGCUAGUAAUCGCGGAUCAGCAUGUCGCGGUGAAUACGUUCCCGGGUCUUGUACACACCGCCCGUCACACCAUGGGGAGUGGUUUUACCAGAAGUAGUUAGCUCAACCGUAUGAGUGGCGAUUACCACGAUCUAUGACUGGGGUGAAGUCGUAACAAGGUAG
RNAcentral lists this ribosomal RNA (1485 nucleotides) under uncultured Bordetella sp. RNAcentral describes it as "partial 16S-23S ribosomal RNA intergenic spacer". It matches the Rfam family "Bacterial small subunit ribosomal RNA". The record is from RNAcentral. Lineage: Bacteria; Pseudomonadati; Pseudomonadota; Betaproteobacteria; Burkholderiales; Alcaligenaceae.